Long non-coding RNA from Oncorhynchus tshawytscha (Chinook salmon), 387 nucleotides. Lineage: Eukaryota; Metazoa; Chordata; Actinopteri; Salmoniformes; Salmonidae. The record is from Ensembl.
GGGACGGCAGGUAGCCUAGUGGUUAGAGUGUAGGGACGGCAGGUAGCCUAGUGGUUAGAGUGUAGGGACGGCAGGUAGCCUAGUGGUUAGAGUGUAGGGACGGCAGGUAGCCUAGUGGUUAGAGUGUAGGGACGGCAGGUAGCCUAGUGGUUAGAGUGUAGGGACGGCAGGUAGCCUAGUGGUUAGAGUGUAGGGACGGCAGGUAGCCGAGUGGUUAGAGUGUAGGGACGGCAGGUAGCCUAGUGGUUAGAGUGUAGGGACGGCAGGUAGCCUAGUGGUUAGAGUGUAGGGACGGCAGGUAGCCUAGUGGUUAGAGUGUAGGGACGGCAGGUAGCCUAGUGGUUAGAGUGUAGGGACGGCAGGGUAGCCUAGUGGUUAGAGUGUAGG